CCUCAGCCUCUGGCAACCACCAUUCCACUUUCUGUUUCUAUGAAUAUGACUGCUCUACAUACCUUAUAUAAGUGGCAUCACACAGUAUUUGUCUUUCUGUGACUGGCUUAUUUCACUUAGCAUAAUCUCCUCAGGGCA
This is a non-coding RNA of Ceratotherium simum simum (southern white rhinoceros), 138 nucleotides long. The record is from RefSeq and is a predicted model, not a curated record. Lineage: Eukaryota; Metazoa; Chordata; Mammalia; Perissodactyla; Rhinocerotidae.